GAGUUUGAUCGUGGCUCAGAACGAACGCUGGCGGCAUGCCUAACACAUGCAAGUCGAACGAGACCUUCGGGUCUAGUGGCGCACGGGUGCGUAACGCGUGGGAAUCUGCCCUUGGGUUCGGAACAACAGUUGGAAACGACUGCUAAUACCGGAUGAUGACUUCGGUCCAAAGAUUUAUCGCCCAAGGAUGAGCCCGCGUCGGAUUAGCUUGUUGGUGAGGUAAAAGCUCACCAAGGCGACGAUCCGUAGCUGGUCUGAGAGGAUGAUCAGCCACACUGGGACUGAGACACGGCCCAGACUCCUACGGGAGGCAGCAGUGGGGAAUAUUGGACAA
RNAcentral lists this ribosomal RNA (334 nucleotides) under uncultured Alphaproteobacteria bacterium. RNAcentral's name for it is "bacterial SSU rRNA". It matches the Rfam family "Bacterial small subunit ribosomal RNA", at positions 9 to 371 of the family's 1533-position model. Lineage: Bacteria; Pseudomonadati; Pseudomonadota; Alphaproteobacteria. The record is from RNAcentral.